GUUCUUACUACACUAGGUUCUAGAGAUUUAUUUUGAAAACUUGAAAAUCACAUGAUGAGUUCCUAGCAUGACAAAACUCCUACCACAGCCAUACUUGCUAUAACAUCUUUUGCUAUAUUCACAAUGAGUUUGAUCGAGCUGUGUAGACCCUUAGGAGCUUUUUCAUGUGGUUAAAUUAAGAUAUUCACUUGCACACAUCUACUACACCAUCUACCACAAUUCAUUAAAAUUGCUAAAAAUAUUAUCACUCACUAUCCCAAGUGUUGUUAUUCUCUCUCUCCAAAAAGAUUCAAUGCAGAAGAGUGAGACAAGAGGUAAAAAAGGGGCAAGUGUCCGGAGUAGAAUUAGGGGUACAAAGAUGCCCACCUGAGCGGAAAAAACGGACAAGUGUCCGAUAGUAGAAUUAGGGGUAUUUACUACCCACCUGAAAAAAAGAGAGAAAAGAAAAAGAUAGCCCAUGUUCUCCCAAAGCAAAGAUCAAAGAGGAGGAGAGAUAGCAAUAUGAGGAGCAAUGAGAAGUAAGUUUUAUCAUUACUUAUAUUUUCACAAUUACUAUCAUUUACUCCACCACACAUGCACAUCUUGAUUUAAUUACAUGUUGAGUUCC
This 607-nucleotide long non-coding RNA is filed under the name Sorghum bicolor (sorghum). RNAcentral describes it as "long non-coding RNA (SBIC_LNC013930)". The record is from RNAcentral. Lineage: Eukaryota; Viridiplantae; Streptophyta; Magnoliopsida; Poales; Poaceae.